Molecule: non-coding RNA, 25 nt
Filed under: Xenopus tropicalis (tropical clawed frog)
Lineage: Eukaryota; Metazoa; Chordata; Amphibia; Anura; Pipidae
Also listed under: 3 other names
Source: RNAcentral
UGCUAAUAACGCCAAGGUCGCGGGU